This 432-nucleotide ribosomal RNA is filed under the name uncultured bacterium. Its description in RNAcentral is "bacterial SSU rRNA". It matches the Rfam family "Bacterial small subunit ribosomal RNA", at positions 354 to 796 of the family's 1533-position model. The record is from RNAcentral.
GUGGGGAAUAUUGCACAAUGGGCGAAAGCCUGAUGCAGCGACGCCGCGUGAGGGAUGACGGCCUUCGGGUUGUAAACCUCUUUCAGCUCUGACGAAGCUUUAUUGUGACGGUAGGAGCAGAAGAAGCACCGGCUAACUACGUGCCAGCAGCCGCGGUAAUACGUAGGGUGCGAGCGUUGUCCGGAAUUAUUGGGCGUAAAGAGCUUGUAGGCGGCUUGUCGCGUCUGCUGUGAAAUCCCGGGGCUCAACCUCGGGCUUGCAGUGGGUACGGGCAGGCUAGAGUAUGGUAGGGGAGACUGGAAUUCCUGGUGUAGCGGUGGAAUGCGCAGAUAUCAGGAGGAACACCGAUGGCGAAGGCAGGUCUCUGGGCCAUCACUGACGCUGAGAAGCGAAAGCGUGGGGAGCGAACAGGAUUAGAAACCCCAGUAGUCC